AACACUUCAACCCUAGCCGGCCACCGCCGAGGCGCUCCCAGUUCUCCACCGAACCGCCGCCACCCCCUUGCAUUGUGUAGCGGCGGCGCCUCCGCCAUCUCUCCUGCGCCGUCGCCCCCCAUCCUCGAGCUGGACGCGGUGGCACGCCUUCACCUUCCUUGGAUCCAGCCAAUAGAAGCUAUGGCCAUGGCAUCUGGCUCCCCUGAGCUUCGUGGAGUGGAGAGGCCAAGGAGGGGAGGCCUCCCCUACUCUUCCUCCCCCUUCCGGAUCCGGCCAGAUCUAGGCUUCAUCGAGUUGGGGACUUCCAGAUCUGGAGCUCCAGGUCAUGGCUACGUGCUGCAUCCACCACAACAGCAACGAAGACGAUGUGACGGGGCUCGGGAGUUCCCGCUGAUGGCGGCGACAUGCUGGAGAAUUUCCUGA
RNAcentral lists this long non-coding RNA (423 nucleotides) under Oryza sativa Indica Group (long-grained rice). RNAcentral describes it as "lncRNA OsZS97_06G011320". The record is from RNAcentral. Lineage: Eukaryota; Viridiplantae; Streptophyta; Magnoliopsida; Poales; Poaceae.